GUUGAUAGAGGCGCGGUGCGAAUGAGUCGCUCGGCUGAGGGGACACCCAAAGACGCCAGCAAAAGGUCAAACCGCCGAAAUCGCAAGGUCUUGUAAGCCUUGUGUAGUUGGUCACUGAGAGAAUAUCUCUUUGACUCCCACUCUGAGCUCUUGGCUCGCCGUGGAGGAGCUA
This 172-nucleotide non-coding RNA is filed under the name uncultured Sutterella sp. RNAcentral's name for it is "Lysine riboswitch". It matches the Rfam family "Lysine riboswitch aptamer". Rfam says of the family: Riboswitches are metabolite binding domains within certain messenger RNAs that serve as precision sensors for their corresponding targets. Allosteric rearrangement of mRNA structure is mediated by ligand binding, and this results in modulation of gene expression. Lineage: Bacteria; Pseudomonadati; Pseudomonadota; Betaproteobacteria; Burkholderiales; Sutterellaceae. The record is from RNAcentral.